RNAcentral lists this ribosomal RNA (1009 nucleotides) under Staphylococcus aureus. RNAcentral's name for it is "partial 23S ribosomal RNA". It matches the Rfam family "Bacterial large subunit ribosomal RNA", at positions 1187 to 2196 of the family's 2925-position model. Lineage: Bacteria; Bacillati; Bacillota; Bacilli; Caryophanales; Staphylococcaceae. The record is from RNAcentral.
CAUAUUACCGAAGCUGUGGAUUGUCCUUUGGACAAUGGUAGGAGAGCGUUCUAAGGGCGUUGAAGCAUGAUCGUAAGGACAUGUGGAGCGCUUAGAAGUGAGAAUGCCGGUGUGAGUAGCGAAAGACGGGUGAGAAUCCCGUCCACCGAUUGACUAAGGUUUCCAGAGGAAGGCUCGUCCGCUCUGGGUUAGUCGGGUCCUAAGCUGAGGCCGACAGGCGUAGGCGAUGGAUAACAGGUUGAUAUUCCUGUACCACCUAUAAUCGUUUUAAUCGAUGGGGGGACGCAGUAGGAUAGGCGAAGCGUGCGAUUGGAUUGCACGUCUAAGCAGUAAGGCUGAGUAUUAGGCAAAUCCGGUACUCGUUAAGGCUGAGCUGUGAUGGGGAGAAGACAUUGUGUCUUCGAGUCGUUGAUUUCACACUGCCGAGAAAAGCCUCUAGAUAGAAAAUAGGUGCCCGUACCGCAAACCGACACAGGUAGUCAAGAUGAGAAUUCUAAGGUGAGCGAGCGAACUCUCGUUAAGGAACUCGGCAAAAUGACCCCGUAACUUCGGGAGAAGGGGUGCUCUUUAGGGUUAACGCCCAGAAGAGCCGCAGUGAAUAGGCCCAAGCGACUGUUUAUCAAAAACACAGGUCUCUGCUAAACCGUAAGGUGAUGUAUAGGGGCUGACGCCUGCCCGGUGCUGGAAGGUUAAGAGGAGUGGUUAGCUUCUGCGAAGCUACGAAUCGAAGCCCCAGUAAACGGCGGCCGUAACUAUAACGGUCCUAAGGUAGCGAAAUUCCUUGUCGGGUAAGUUCCGACCCGCACGAAAGGCGUAACGAUUUGGGCACUGUCUCAACGAGAGACUCGGUGAAAUCAUAGUACCUGUGAAGAUGCAGGUUACCCGCGACAGGACGGAAAGACCCCGUGGAGCUUUACUGUAGCCUGAUAUUGAAAUUCGGCACAGCUUGUACAGGAUAGGUAGGAGCCUUUGAAACGUGAGCGCUAGCUUACGUGGAGGCGCUGGUGGG